Molecule: ribosomal RNA, 838 nt
Filed under: uncultured bacterium
Lineage: Bacteria
Description: bacterial SSU rRNA
Rfam family: Bacterial small subunit ribosomal RNA
Source: RNAcentral
GGCUCAGGAUGAACGCUGGCGGUAUGCCUAACACAUGCAAGUCGAACGGUCACUUCGGUGAUAGUGGCGGACGGGUGAGUAACGCGUGAGAAUCUGCCUCUUGGUUGGGGACAACAGUUGGAAACGACUGCUAAUACCCAAUGUGCCGCAAGGUGAAAGAUUUAUUGCCAAGAGAGGAGCUCGCGUCUGAUUAGCUAGCUGGUAGUGUAAGGGACUACCAAGGCAUCGAUCAGUAGCUGGUCUGAGAGGAUGAGCAGCCACACUGGGACUGAGACACGGCCCAGACUCCUACGGGAGGCAGCAGUGGGGAAUUUUCCGCAAUGGGCGAAAGCCUGACGGAGCAAUACCGCGUGAGGGAGGAAGGCUCUUGGGUUGUAAACCUCUUUUCUUAGGGAAGAACACAAUGACGGUACCUAAGGAAUAAGCAUCGGCUAACUCCGUGCCAGCAGCCGCGGUAAUACGGAGGAUGCAAGCGUUAUCCGGAAUUAUUGGGCGUAAAGCGUCCGUAGGUGGUUUUUCAAGUCUGCUGUCAAAGACCGUGGCUUAACCACGGAAAGGCAGUGGAAACUGAGAGACUAGAGUUCGGUAGGGGUAGCGGGAAUUCCCAGUGUAGCGGUGAAAUGCGUAGAUAUUGGGAAGAACAUCGGUGGCGAAGGCGCGCUACUGGACCGAAACUGACACUCAGAGGACGAAAGCUAGGGGAGCGAAAGGGAUUAGAUACCCCUGUAGUCCUAGCUGUAAACGAUGGAAACUAGGUGUGGCUUGUAUCGACCCGAGCCGUGCCGAAGCUAACGCGUUAAGUUUCCCGCCUGGGGAGUACGCACGCAAGUGUGAAACU